GAUGAACGCUGGCGGCGUGCCUAAUACAUGCAAGUCGAGCGAACAGAUGAGGAGCUUGCUCCUCUGACGUUAGCGGCGGACGGGUGAGUAACACGUGGAUAACCUACCUAUAAGACUGGGAUAACUUCGGGAAACCGGAGCUAAUACCGGAUAAUAUAUUGAACCGCAUGGUUCAAUAGUGAAAGACGGUUUUGCUGUCACUUAUAGAUGGAUCCGCGCCGCAUUAGCUAGUUGGUAAGGUAACGGCUUACCAAGGCAACGAUGCGUAGCCGACCUGAGAGGGUGAUCGGCCACACUGGAACUGAGACACGGUCCAGACUCCUACGGGAGGCAGCAGUAGGGAAUCUUCCGCAAUGGGCGAAAGCCUGACGGAGCAACGCCGCGUGAGUGAUGAAGGUCUUCGGAUCGUAAAACUCUGUUAUUAGGGAAGAAAAAAUGUGUAUGUAACUAUGCACGUCUUGACGGUACCUAAACAGAAAGCCACGGCUAACUACGUG
Molecule: ribosomal RNA, 497 nt
Filed under: uncultured bacterium
Lineage: Bacteria
Description: partial 16S ribosomal RNA
Rfam family: Bacterial small subunit ribosomal RNA
Source: RNAcentral